CCAAUCGCUUUCUCUCUACAUAGAAAAGUAAAAAUAAAAACAAAUAAGGAAACUAAAUUAACGCAUUUAAUUCAUUAAUUAAUCGAGGCAGAUUUCCGAGAAUUAAUAGGAUUCGUCCUCCAUGAAUUAGCAGAGCAGAGCAUCCCCGAAUCCUCUACGACAAUCACCGAAAUCCAUACAACCUAGAAACUCGACUAAACCCCGUACGGUUAAGAUUUAGAAUUAUAACUUGAAAAUCGGAAGCCGGUCGUCGGACAAUCGGACUUGGGACAGCAAUCGGGCUUGGGACAGCAACUGCACUUUCUGAUUUCCUUUAAGGUAAUUAAGCUCCUCCUCGGAUGUGAUUAAGCUUUAGUUUACCCGUUUUGGAACUGUAAUUAAGCUCUAAUGAUUUAUUAGAUAAUCCAAAACACAUGAUUUUCAGGCGCUUGUUGCUCCGAACCAAAAUGUUGCGAGAUUGAUGCACAUCUGACUCGAGUUUUGGAAUUUUAAUGUUUGUGUUUCAGGUUUCCGGUAAAUGGGUUCGGCAGCCUCUUCAGUUGCAGUCAACUUCUCUGCCUCUCUUUUACUUUGUUGAACCAAAUCCAGAGGUUUCUACAAUGCACACGUUUAUUCAUAUGGUUUUCUACUUAUGCUGUUUCAACUUAAUGCCUAAUGAUUAGUACGAAUAAUGAUAAUACGCGUGUGAGCUCAUGAACACAAAAUCUUGAUGCAGCGUGCAUUUCUCAAUUUGUUUGGCUGGUUUCCGUUUACGUGCUGUCUCUUCUA
This 768-nucleotide long non-coding RNA is filed under the name Malus domestica (apple). RNAcentral describes it as "long non-coding RNA (MDOM_LNC003475)". Lineage: Eukaryota; Viridiplantae; Streptophyta; Magnoliopsida; Rosales; Rosaceae. The record is from RNAcentral.